RNAcentral lists this ribosomal RNA (468 nucleotides) under uncultured bacterium. RNAcentral describes it as "partial 16S ribosomal RNA". It matches the Rfam family "Bacterial small subunit ribosomal RNA", at positions 28 to 507 of the family's 1533-position model. The record is from RNAcentral.
GACGAACGCUGGCGGCGUGCUUAACACAUGCAAGUCGAACGGCAACGCCCUGCUUUUGUGGGCUGCCCGAGUGGCGAACGGGUGCGUAACACGUGAGUAACCUGCCCUUGACUUUGGGAUAACUUCAGGAAACUGGGGCUAAUCCCGGAUAGGAGCUCCUGUUGCAUGGUGGGGGUUGGAACGUUUCGGCGGUUGGGGAUGGACUCGCGGCUUAUCAGCUAGUUGGUGGGGUAGUGGCUUACCCAGGCUUUGACGGGUAGCCGGCCUGGGAGGGUGACCGGGCACAUGGGGACUGAGGUACGGCCCAGACUGCAACGGGAGGCAGCAGUGGCGAAUCUUGCACAGUGGGCGGAAGCCUGAUGCAGCGACGCCGCGUUCGUGAUGACGGCCUUCGGGGUGAGAACCGCUUUCGCCUGUGACGAAGCGUGAGUGACGGUAAUGGGUAAAGAAGCACCGGCUAACUACGUG